This 433-nucleotide ribosomal RNA is filed under the name uncultured bacterium. Its description in RNAcentral is "partial 16S ribosomal RNA". It matches the Rfam family "Bacterial small subunit ribosomal RNA", at positions 29 to 507 of the family's 1533-position model. The record is from RNAcentral.
AACGAACGCUGGCGGCAUGCCUAACACAUGCAAGUCGAACGAGACCUUCGGGUCUAGUGGCGCACGGGUGCGUAACGCGUGGGAACCUGCCCUUAGGUUCGGAAUAACUCCCCGAAAGGGGUGCUAAUACCGGAUAAUGUCUUCGGACCAAAGAUUUAUCGCCUUUGGAUGGGCCCGCGUUGGAUUAGCUAGUUGGUAGGGUAAAUGCCUACCAAGGCGACGAUCCAUAGCUGGUCUGAGAGGAUGAUCAGCCACACUGGGACUGAGACACGGCCCAGACUCCUACGGGAGGCAGCAGUGGGGAAUAUUGGAAAAUGGGCGAAAGCCUGAUCCAGCAAUGCCGCGUGAGUGAUGAAGGCCUUAGGGUUGUAAAGCUCUUUUACCCGGGAUGAUAAUGACAGUACCGGGAGAAUAAGCUCCGGCUAACUCCGUG